UCCAGACUCCUACGGGAGGCAGCAGUGAGGAAUAUUGGUCAAUGGGCGGGAGCCUGAACCAGCCAAGUCGCGUGAGGGAAGACGGUCCUAUGGAUUGUAAACCUCUUUAGGCGGGGAGCAAUGCCGGGCACGCGUGCCCGGAGGGAGAGUACCCGCAGAAUAAGCAUCGGCUAACUCCGUGCCAGCAGCCGCGGUAAUACGGAGGAUGCGAGCGUUAUCCGGGUUUAUUGGGUUUAAGGGGUGCGUAGGCGGGCUGUUAGGUCGGCGGUAAAAGCCCGGGGCCCACCCCCGGCGAGCCGUUGAAACUGGCUGUCUUGAGAUGUCGAGAGGUAUGCGGAAUGCGCAGUGUAGCGGUGAAAUGCUUAGAUAUUGCGCAGAACUCCGAUUGCGAAGGCAGCAUACCGGCGGCGAUCUGACGCUGAGGCACGAAAGCGUGGGUAUCGAACAGGAUUAGAUACCCGAGUA
RNAcentral lists this ribosomal RNA (465 nucleotides) under uncultured bacterium. Its description in RNAcentral is "bacterial SSU rRNA". It matches the Rfam family "Bacterial small subunit ribosomal RNA", at positions 330 to 792 of the family's 1533-position model. The record is from RNAcentral.